GAUGAAGAACGUAGUGAAAUGCGAAAAGUAAUGUGAAUUGCAGAAUUCAGUGAAUCAUCGAAUCUUUGAACGCACAUUGCGCCCGCUGGUACUCCGGCGGCACGCCUGUCCGAGCGUCAUUUCAACCCUCAAGCCCUCCUUCGGGAUGGGCCUGGUGUUGGGGCUCGGCCGCCAUCUCCGGCGGCCGUCCCCUAAAUACAGUGGCGGUCACGUCGCGACUCCUUUGCGUAGUAGAAACACCUCGCUCCGGAUAGCAACGCGGUCCACGCCGUAAAACCACCAAUUUUCAAUGGUUGACCUCGGAUCAGGUGGGAAUACCCGCUGAACUUAAGCAUAUCAAUAAGCGGAGGA
This 351-nucleotide unclassified non-coding RNA is filed under the name soil metagenome. Its description in RNAcentral is "partial contains 5.8S ribosomal RNA, internal transcribed spacer 2, and large subunit ribosomal RNA". The stretch from base 1 to 119 matches the Rfam family "5.8S ribosomal RNA", at positions 35 to 154 of the family's 154-position model. The record is from RNAcentral.